GCUGGGCAUGGUGGUGCGUGCCUGUAAUCCCAGUUACUCGGGAGGCUGAGGCAGGAGACUUGCUUGAACCCGGGAGGUGGAGGUUGCAGUGAGCCAAGAUUGUGCCACUGCACUCCACCCUGAGCCACAGAGUAAGACUCUGUCUCCA
This 148-nucleotide non-coding RNA is filed under the name Chlorocebus sabaeus (green monkey). The record is from Rfam by way of RNAcentral. Lineage: Eukaryota; Metazoa; Chordata; Mammalia; Primates; Cercopithecidae.